CGCAUCUGUGCAUGCAGCAUAUCAAUAAGCGGAGGAAAAGAAACUAACAAGGAUUCCCCUAGUAACGGCGAGUGAAGCGGGAAGAGCUCAAAUUUGAAAUCUUAAAGGGUUUCCCUUUACGAAUUGUAGUUUAAAGAAGUGUUUUCUGUUGAGGUUUUGGUAAAAGUUCUUUGGAAUAGGACAUCAUAGAGGGUGAGAAUCCCGUAUUUGACCUUUACUUUCAACUUUGCUGAUACACUUUCAAAGAGUCGGAUUGUUUGGGAAUGCAGUCCCAAAAUGGGUGGUAAAUUUCAUCUAAAGCUAAAUAUUGGCGAGAGACCGAUAGCGAACAAGUACCGUGAGGGAAAGAUGAAAAGAACUUUGAAAAGAGAGUUAAACAGUACGUGAAAUUGUCAAAAGGGAAGCGUUUGACACCAGUGUUGUUUUUCUGAAAAUCAAUUAAAGAACUGUUUAUGCUAAGCUGUUUAGACUUUAUCAGCUAUCUGCUUAGUUUUGAGCUUUUCUUUAAUGCACUUUUCAGUUAACAAGUCAACAUCAAUUUCUUUUGCUGUAAAAAAGCUUGAGGAAGGUGGCUUGAGAUUCGUCUUAAGUGUUUAUAGCCUCUUGCCUAUGCAGUCGGAGAGAUUGAGGUCUGCAGCGUAGAUCCUUCGGGGCUAAAUGCAUUUGUGCUAAGUUAUAGCAUUUUAUAGACAACUUGUUGACUAUGAUUUGUCUUGUAGCUUACUCGCUUAUGUUAUUUUACCUACGCUUAGGAUGUUGACGAGACUGUCGAUCUC
RNAcentral lists this ribosomal RNA (776 nucleotides) under uncultured Neocallimastigales. RNAcentral describes it as "partial large subunit ribosomal RNA". It matches the Rfam family "Eukaryotic large subunit ribosomal RNA", at positions 26 to 647 of the family's 3401-position model. Lineage: Eukaryota; Fungi; Neocallimastigomycota; Neocallimastigomycetes; Neocallimastigales. The record is from RNAcentral.